GCAAAUUGCAAUGUUUAGGUGGGCAUUUGAGCACAAUUCACAACUACCUAUCCUACACCACACAAUCUAUUAACCUACACCAUUCAUCCCACCUCACCAUAUUCACAACAACACCAUUGCACGCAUCAACACAAAUCCCAGCCACUGCAUCCCACAACUCCCACAUCAACCACCUCUACACCACCCCCUCCUUAUCCUUCACCACAACAGCUGCUACCUUCUCGCAAGCUGCAACACCAUACCACCAACACCAACAACAACCUGUUCGACUCCCUCUCACCACGCAACAAAAAACGCAACCACGAAAUAGAGAAAAACAGAGUAAUUAAGUUUGGUCGAAUAGUAUUCAAGUUCGACCAAACCCGAAUUUUAGAAAAGUUCCUGACAAGGCCGGGUCCGGCCGAACCCACCGUGUGUUCGCCCAAACCAGAAACGGGUUCGCCCGAACCUCCAUUAAAGUUUGAUCCAACAUUUGAACGCGAAGUUUAGUACGGAAUUAAUGAAGGUCACGUGCCUUCUUGCCUUGGUUGUUGAUGGAAGCUUCGAUUUUCCGCCGUACAAAAACUCAACCAAUGGCUGCGAUUUCUUGUUGAUGCUCGAUGAUGAACAAUGAGAUGCAAUGAUGAUCUACGGUGAUGAUUGUGGAUAAUGAUAGACGAUGAAGGGGUGAUGAUGGACGUUGAUGAGGCUGGGAGCUGCAACAAAGAGCCGUUGAUGAUAGAUGGAUGAUGAACGCUGAUGAUUAUCAAACGGAGCAGUGUGAGUUUGGAGGAGGAGCAAACUCGAUGAAAAUGACGAAGGAAAUCAAGUGGGUCUGAUUGUUUUGAAAGAAAAGGGAUGCUGAUUGUGUUUGGGCUUUUGAAAGGAAAAAGCUACGGUGGGCUUUUUGGGUUUUGUUUUGUUUUGUUUUACUCUCUUUUUUUCUUUCUUUUUACUUUCUCCUCUUUUUAAUUACUUUUCUUUUCUUUGUUUUAUUUUCUUUUAUGAAUAUAUUUCUCCCUUUUUUUUCUUCUUAUUAUUAGUUUUUGGGUAUAUAUACUCCCUUUUCUCUAUUUUUUGGGGGAUUACCAUGUAAUAGACUAUGACUCGGUCUGUACAAAAUACCAGAGUCUGAUAUGCUAGUAGUUGUUCAAUUUCGCAAGGGUGGCUAUUCAGUUAGGUUUCUCCCUUCAUGUGCAGAUGGUAGAUGGAAGGAGAAUGGUAAAUUAAAGGAUGGCAAGGACUUAGAAAUUCUUUUGGACUGAUUUUGGACAAAUAAAUUAAAUACUAGAUUUUCGUUAUUAGAAUGAUUGUUAUGGAUAUUUUAUUUUCGUAAUAAGUAAAACUAAUAUGAAAUAAAUGUUUUCUUUUUGUAGUA
Molecule: long non-coding RNA, 1357 nt
Organism: Spinacia oleracea (spinach)
Lineage: Eukaryota; Viridiplantae; Streptophyta; Magnoliopsida; Caryophyllales; Amaranthaceae
Exons: 2
Source: RefSeq, a predicted model, not a curated record